ACUAAACCAUAAAACUCGAAAUCAUCACUCUCUAUGCCUCGCCACUCUUCCUCACACAAACAACUCUCUCAGUGCCUUAUUCUCUAUGAGAAGUGAUAACCACGCCAUCUUAAUCGCGUUUUGAAUCCUUUUCUUGGACAAACUUGUGUUGAUUUCGAUUAAAAUCUCAAUUGCGCUCUAGUAAUCAGGUUGAACUCGUCAUUCAGUGAUUUAGAAUCAAAAUUUUGAGGGUUUUCUUUGCUCAAUAAUUCAGCAAUGCGUUAUCGGUUUUAAAUUCUGUCGUGGAAUCCGCCAUCAGUGUUGAACACAUCGAGCUUAUAAAGGCCUGGCACAUCUUGUAAUGUAAUUAUAAAAAUGUUCAUAUCAAUAACCAUGGAGAUAGAAACAGAAGGAAGUGGUGAUGAAAUGAAGAAUUCAUCAUGUUCCGCACUUGAUUUAUAUAGGUUAUUGAAGAGAUUCAUCUAAGAGGUAUGAAUAUGGUAGCUUAUAGAUUGGAGUCUUGGCUACCAUACCGUCAUCCUAUAAAAUUUUUAUUACAAUAGGUAUGUGUGUGCUUUUUAUUUGGUUUUAUAUGAGCUUAGUUAUAGAUAAAGCAAGUGUUUUAUGUGACUGUGACAAAUUUUGGUAACUCACAUAAUUUGAAAUGGGAUAUCUUGCAUGGUAUGAGGUGCUGGUUUGUAAACACUAAAAAUCUUGCAAGUGUGCUGGCUUUUGCCUAACUCUAGUUGAUCUUCUCAGGCAUGUGUUAAAUGUAUGGUGAGAUGUUGAUUUUCUAAUGAUGCAUGUGGGUAUGCAAUAAUUCAUAAAGUGAUUCUUGGACCAACUGUCAGUGUGGAAUUAUGAUUCUGAUGAGAAUGUUGAGAGUGGUAGUAAGGCUGUGGUGGUGGAGGAGAAUGGGAAUCAUAGUGGCGGAGGGAAUGGGAAUUUGAGCUUGAGUGGCGGUGUCAAUGGUGGAGAUCAGAAAGGGAAGAAGAAAGGGAUGCCGGUGAAGAAUCUCAUGGCCGAGAGGUGGCACAGGAAGAAGCUUAAUGAUAGGUUGUACAUGCUUAGGUCUGUUGUGCCAAAGAUUAGCAAGAUGGAUAGGGCUUCGAUACUUGGGGAUGCAAUCGACUACUUGAGGGAGUUACUACAGUGGAUUAAUGAUCUUUACAAUGAACUGGAGUCAACUCCACCUGGCCCUUCGCUGCAAUCUUCCACCACCAGCCUUCAACCUUUGACACCCACGCCGCAAACCCUUCCAUGCCGGGUGAAGGAAGAACUGUAUCCUGGUGUCUUGCCAAGCCCCAAAAAUCAACUUGCAAAGGAGUUAAGGUUGUGACAUCCUUUUCUUCAAAUUCGAGCUUGCUCACAAGCUGAUAUCGUCCCUCAAGCUUCACUUGGUUCAAUAAUAAUGGUUUAUUUGGCUGCAGGGAGUGCAAUGAAUAAGGGUCAGGCAGAGAGAAGAGAUUGCUAAAGUUUUCCUGAGCAUUAAAGAAUUGUACUGACAAAAAUAUUUAAAAGAGUUGCUAGCAAUUUUAGUUGCCUUAGGAGAACUGUCCUAGAUGAGAAGCUUAAAUGCAAGGAAUACUCUACUGCAGCAUUGAUUGGGACCUUGCUUUACCAAAAUUUUCAGGAUGGGCUUAUUGACUUCCUGAAGACGAUCCAUCUAUUGAUUUCUUUGAAGGUUACACAGAAGUGGCAACUUCUUAGGAACAUUGAGAGUUUGUAUGCUUGUGGAGGUGUGAAUUUGUAGUAUUAUAUCUAUAUAUAUAAUUAUGUUAUGCAUCUCAUUUUAAGUGUGAAAUUUAUCAGGAAAAAAUUUUCUUUAAUGUAAUUAUUGAGAUUUGUCAUUGGAAUACUUUGUGGCUAGUUUGUUCGAGCAAAAUUGUAUUUUAAGAGUUGAUAUUGAACAAAAUUUAUA
This is a non-coding RNA of Arachis ipaensis, 1900 nucleotides long. The record is from RefSeq and is a predicted model, not a curated record. Lineage: Eukaryota; Viridiplantae; Streptophyta; Magnoliopsida; Fabales; Fabaceae.